Equus caballus (horse) is the source of this 2394-nucleotide long non-coding RNA. The record is from Ensembl. NCBI's taxonomy places the organism in Eukaryota, Metazoa, Chordata, Mammalia, Perissodactyla, Equidae.
CCCCCCACCCCCCGGCCGGCUGCCCUGGGCUCCCAGCUUCCGAGUUGCCUGGGCGAAGAAGACAAACACCCGAGAAAGCAUACACAACGUUUAUUGAGCUCUUCCGGUGAGCUGGACCUGAGCCGAGGGCUGGACACGGAGGCUCCCGUUUAAUCCGUCCGAUGUCCCUAGGAGGUAGGUAUUCCUGCUGUCCCCAUUCUACCAAAUGGGAAACAGGGACCUGGAGAGGUGAGUGUCCAGAAGGAAAGGAAGGAGGGCAUCUGGGCUGCAGACUCAGCUCGAGCUGACCCACAGGUCCCCACUCUUAACCAGAGAUGGGACGACCCCAGAGUGCCCCUGAAACCUGUCCCGCCCUGCGGGUUAGGGGCAGGGACAGAGGGCUCUGUGCCAGCCGAGCAGUAUCUGUUACACCCCUGUGACCUGUGCCAUCACAAUCGGCCCCAGCUAUAUAACCAGGGGCUGCCAGGGCCUCUGUAAAUCUGGACGUGCCGGAAAAGCAGGAGGGGAGGCCUCUGCCCCUCCAGACGUGGCCUCCCAUGGACACCAAAGCACAGGGCCUCCCUGUCACCCACUCUCAGCCCCACAGCAACUCUCGGCCCCAAAGCCACACCUGCAGCCAGUGCGACUGCAGCCACCACUGCCAGAACUGUAGCCAGAGUUUCGCCACUGGCCGCUGCAGCCAGAGGUCAAGCCCCAACGUGCCAAAGCAUCACAGUCACACCACGCACUCCCACUCCGGUCCCGCACGGCCCAUCACCCACUCCUGCAGCUACUCCAAGAAGAGGAAGAACCUGAAAAGACAGGGGAGCAAGAGGAAGGCGGUGAAGAGGAGCCAGCGGGUUGGCAAAACACAGAGGUGGCACUCAGGGCCCCUUUCUCAUUCCCUUCCUUAGGGCGGAAACACAACUGAGAGGCACCCCGCGGCUCAUUCCUGUGUCGGUUUCACCCAAAUGAGGACGCCAUCCCGCGUGGAACACUAGAAGGAAAGCGUUCUGCAGGAACACGUUAACUACAGGGAUUUCUAUGCAACACUGAUUAAAGCUUGCACACUGGAUGACUCUUCUUGUGUUGGCAUUUUAAUUGCACUAAAGGUGUCUAGCGUUCGGGGCCCUGGUUUGGAAGCAGGAAGCCGGGAAGAUGCUGCAUAGGGAGUAGGGACAGGCCACGUGACCUCAGGAAAGCAUAAGGAGCUAAUGCUGGCACAGGGGCAGAAACGAAUGAGGGGUGGGGACUCCGAGGAGCCUGUGAAGUAGACAAGCAACACUCUGCUUGGGCAGAGCCCUCCUGGGUGCACACACAGGGGAUGUCCAUGGGCCCGCACACUGUUUAUGUGCUCCCCACGCAAUAGUCCACCCAGGAGCAUGGCGGGAGACAGGCGGGAAGAGGGUCAGGAAUGUGCAUUCUGCAGUCCAGAGCAUCCUGAAUUUGAAUCCUGGAUCACUGAGUUGCCCUGCUGUGUGACCUUGGGCUGGGGAUGAACCUCUCUGAGCCACACUUGUUUCAACAAACUUUUACUAAGGAACCGAAUGUGUCUGGGGGCUGUGCUAGGCUCUGCGAACGCAGAAGACACACAAGGCCCUGUGACAAGGUCCAGCGUGUUUCUAAAGAUGCUGUUGGAGGCUGUUGUCGAGGACAGAAGGGACAAGAGAAAGAGCUGCUAGCCGGGUGUGGCCAGGAGAGAGGGACCACUGGCCUGGACGGAAGGGUGACACCGGAGAUCUUCCGAGACAGGGAUGACGGGUCUACUGGCAGCUUCUCAUCAAGCCUUCCGAGGACAGCCGAGGAGCCAGCCUGUCACCACCUGGAGUCCAGCCACCGCUCCUGUCAUCGCUCCGGGGCCGAGCCCUCUUUAUCCGGCUUCUAGAAAGACCUCAACUCUGCUGUCACCGCCUCCAAGAGGCCUUCCCUGACUGCCUUCUCUCACUCCUCCCGCACUGCACCAACAGCUCCUCGCUCCCUUUCUCCCUGUUCAUUGCCCCCCAGCACCUGCCACCAUCUGAGAUGAUGGCGUGAAUUCGCCGCCUGUCUGCUCGAAGACCCCUGGGCCCCUGGUGCCGGCAGAUAGGAGGCACUCUAUAAAUACUUGCAGAAUAAAUACUGAAGGAGGAAAAUAGAUACGCUAUUCCCCUUAUCCUGCAGAUGAGGAAACUGAGGCAUGGAGAAGCUUGCCCCAGGCCACAUGCUUAUUACGUGGCAGACUGAAACUCAGGCCGCUCAUGGCAGAAUCGAGGCUCUAAGCCACACAGCUCAGGGCCCCCAGAGGCACGGGCUCCCUUGGGAACCUAGGCUGCCCCGUGGGUUCGGAGAAAAGGCGGGCUGAGGGGCACGGGGGCAGAGGGCAGUUUCAGGAUUACAGGCCCUGUCCCGCGGCCACUGUUCCCAGCAGAACUGUGC